Molecule: ribosomal RNA, 305 nt
Filed under: uncultured bacterium
Lineage: Bacteria
Description: bacterial SSU rRNA
Rfam family: Bacterial small subunit ribosomal RNA
Source: RNAcentral
CGAGCCUACGGGACGCAGCAGUGAGGAAUAUUGGUCAAUGGGCGGUAGCCUGAACCAGCCAAGUAGCGUGAAGGAUGAAGGUUCUAUGGAUUGUAAACUUCUUUUAUAAAGGAAUAAAGUGAGGCACGUGUGCCUUUUUGUAUGUACUUUAUGAAUAAGGAUCGGCUACCUCCGUGCCAGCAGCCGCGGUAAUACGUAGGAUCCGAGCGUUAUCCGGGUUUAUUGGGUUUAAAGGGAGCGUAGAUGGGUUGUUAAGUCAGUUGUGAAAGUUUGGGGCUCAACCGUAGAAUUGCAAUUGAUACUGG